This 588-nucleotide ribosomal RNA is filed under the name uncultured bacterium. RNAcentral describes it as "bacterial SSU rRNA". It matches the Rfam family "Bacterial small subunit ribosomal RNA", at positions 336 to 916 of the family's 1533-position model. The record is from RNAcentral.
CUCCUACGGGAGGCAGCAGUGGGGAAUCUUGCGCAAUGGGCGAAAGCCUGACGCAGCGACGCCGCGUGAGUGAUGAAGGCCUUCGGGUUGUAAAGCUCUGUGGGGAGAGAAGAAUUAGUGCGGGCUAAUACUCCGCAUGAUGACGGUAUCUCCUUAGCAAGCACCGGCUAACUCUGUGCCAGCAGCCGCGGUAAGACAGAGGGUGCAAACGUUGUUCGGAAUUACUGGGCGUAAAGCGUGUGUAGGCGGCCAUGUAAGUUGGAUGUGAAAGCCCCGGGCUCAACCCGGGAAGUGCAUUCAAAACUGCGUGGCUUGAGUACUGGAGAGGUUGGUAGAAUUCUCGGUGUAGAGGUGAAAUUCGUAGAUAUCGAGAGGAAUACCGGUGGCGAAGGCGGCCAACUGGACAGAUACUGACGCUGAGACACGAAAGCGUGGGGAGCAAACAGGAUUAGAUACCCUGGUAGUCCACGCCGUAAACGAUGGGUGCUAGGUGUCACUGGCAUUGACUCCGGUGGUGCCGUAGCUAACGCAUUAAGCACCCCGCCUGGGAAGUACGGCCGCAAGGCUAAAACUCAAAGGAAUUGACGG